ACACACACACACACACACACACACACACACACACACACACACACACACACACACACACAGCACCUAACGCGCGUUCGCGCGCCCGCCCGCCUGCUACACAUACAUAACUUAUAAUAUCUUGUUAUGUCUAUGUUAGCACGCCCAAACCACGUUCCUGCUAGAUGUUCAGUUUCAUAUAUACUUAUGUGUAAACAUCUGUCCUGAAUAUUCCUCACUUGUUGUUGAGACAUGGCCUAGUGUAGCAUCUCUUAUACUUUCAUAUAAAAUGUUGUUUCAUGAAUUUUUACAUCUGACACAUAAUUAUGAAGCAUUAAUUACAUAUUUAAGUGAAAAAAAAGUUAUUCGAAACCGAAUAAAAUGUCCACGGUGCGCUACUAUUAUAGAGAUGAAUGUAGAAAAUUCACAACAUCUCAUUCUACAUUGCACAAAUACAUAUUACAAACAAUUACGUGGUAAAAAACGGAAACGACAAAUAUGUAAUUUUAAAAUUAGUGCCUUAACAGGAACGUGGUUUGCACGUGCUAACAUAGACAUAACAAAAAUAUGCCGUAAGUACUACAAUCUUGAACGACUAGCGGAAGGGGGAGGGUGCGCCCCCCGCUAGUUGUUCGAUAUUGCAGUUAUUAUUCGAUAAUGCUCGUUAACAUUCGGUACACAGUAUCGAAAAACUGAAAUAUAUUUUUCAAACUUCUUUCAUCAAUAACUUUUUAUAAAACAAUGAGCGUCGGCUAAAACCUUUUGAUUGUCACUCAAGACAGUGUGAUAAUAUAUAUCAAGGUCGAGGUCAUUACAGGGUGCUUAUAAUCGAUAAUUACCCAUUAAUUUAUUAUUUGUAAUAUCGGAAGUUCGGAAGAGACAAUUUGUGUCACGGUUAUCUUCGAGACGUGUUCGAGCGCCUGUCGUAGUCUUCCCACGUACGCUCGGAAACGGUGGCGGCGUGGACAGGUCCGUACGCGACGGAUGAUUAGUGUCGGUACGCGGCGGUCGGUCCCGGCGCGGACGGUCUCGCGGCGGGUUUAUGCGGUGGCGAUCGGGUAGGUGGGUUGCCCUGGAUGAAGGCGACGUCGGGUAAGGAGGCGCGCGAGAGAAUCCAGCGGGUGGAGGCUUAAAGCUGAGGGCAGAGACGGAGGCAGGGAAAUCAACAGCGCUUGACCGAAGCGGUCAGCGGGCUACCUCUUGUUCCCAAACGGGGUGCGUGUUCGACGGAAGGGAACCGCUAACCUCCCUCGAACGACUAGCGGAGUUGAGCGACGAAUACGGAUACCCCGGCGACUACCUGCUAAGAGGACUACCGUAGCUACUAAAGGCGACAGCCGGAAUCGCCGAGAUGAGUGGGCCGACUGGGAGGACUUCGAUCGCGCCUUUCGUAGACAGUACCUGUGUUCGAAAUUGAAGCGACCCGAUCCUGAGAUCUACAAUUAGAAGAUUCUCGAAUGCGAAAUCACGUGUCCGACGUGUGAACUCGGACAAAGUCGUCGCUGUCGCGAGAAUAACCGUACGCUCAGUUCUUGAUCUUUCCAGCAUGAUUUAAUCUAGUUUGAAAUUCACACAAACAAAUAAACAAGGAAGAAGACUAAACGGUUACGAUCGCGAGCGAUGAUUGCCUGUCCAAAAUUCUAUUGGUUCUAAGAACCGCAACGAUCUCGGGGGAAGGUAUCAGUGAAUCACAGCUAACCACGAGAAAUUGAAAAGAUAAGUGUCAUCGUCCUCUCGCAAGGACAAAGCGUCUAUAAAAGCAACAUCUCGGGGAGUCAAGUCAGUCCGGCUGUCGAGUUAUAGUUGAAUAAGCGAGCGAAUCUGCAAGUCGAGCAGAACUCAAGUGCCAUCGCAGCAAGUCGAGCUGCCUUAAAAUGAAACGCUAUCCUUCUUGAACCCUUUGUCAGAACCAGCGUUCACUCGGUCCUCGGUCUCUCUUUGACCGCCUCAAACUUGACUCCCUGAUCCCUUAGCUACAUCCGGUUGCGCCGCCGACGGACUAGGUCCGCCGAAUCAUUCUUUCAGUGUACAUCAGUUAUUUAUGAUUAAAAAUUUGUUAAGAUAAGCUCAA
Molecule: long non-coding RNA, 2047 nt
Organism: Odontomachus brunneus
Lineage: Eukaryota; Metazoa; Arthropoda; Insecta; Hymenoptera; Formicidae
Exons: 2
Source: RefSeq, a predicted model, not a curated record